RNAcentral lists this long non-coding RNA (1229 nucleotides) under Durio zibethinus. RNAcentral's name for it is "long non-coding RNA (DZIB_LNC001200)". Lineage: Eukaryota; Viridiplantae; Streptophyta; Magnoliopsida; Malvales; Malvaceae. The record is from RNAcentral.
CCACUAGUUGUAGAGAAUUACAAACAUACAUCAAAUCAUCAACCUCACUCAACAAUCAAUACUCAUAAGACACUCUCAAUCUCCUCUAGUCCUAUGAAGUAUUCUCUACCCAAACAAACACAAACCCAAACUCUUGUGCACCCUUUCAACACAACCAAACACAUACCCAUAUGUUCCCAUACAUCAUACCUAUGUGGACCCUCUCAAUCUCCUCUAGUCCACUCACAAACAAACAUACAUACCUAUAAGACGUAGAGCCCCAAUACUCCUAUGGGGUGUCUAUCCCACAAAAUCCUACAACUCUCUUACAUCUUUUUCUCAUACCUAACCUUAUAGAGACUUCACCUAUUUAUAAUCAUACAAACUUGCCCAUUAAAAAUCCCUCUCCUUUUAGAAUUCUUCUCUUACAAGUCAAACUUACCUAUUAAGAAUCCUCUUUUUCCUGAAAUUCUUCUUUUGCAAGUCUUCUUGUCCAUUAAGCAAUCUCUGACAAAUCUCAAAUAAAUCUCUAACAAAUCUCAAACAAAUCUCUUAUGGGAUUUGAGUCAAUAUUCCCAACAAUCUCCACCUUGACUCAAAUUUCAUCAAUCAUCUAUCUUCAUGUUAGACAUGCUUGGCUCCACUUGCAAUAGAAGUCUUACAAUCAUCUUCUCUUCUCUUGUGUCUUCACGCUUCAUAUAAACCAAUCAUCAAUCUUUAAAACUUGAACUCGAACUCUUUUCUUAAAUCAAGCUCCUCUGGACUUGCUUCUUCCCAUGUCUCAACCAUGCACUUUCCACAUCUGAAACCUUUAGCUCUUCUCACAUCUCGAACUUUAAGCUCUUUCACAUCUCUUCCACAUCUUGAACUUUCAGCUUUGAUACCAUUUGUUGGGGAAUACCACAGCUCUGAUACCAUUUGUUAGGCUAAAAGCCUCCAAUCCAAUCACACCAGCAGAAGCGAAAUCAAACAAUAAAUCAAACACAAGAGACAACAAUUUAACGUGGUUCGGUCCAACUGACCUACAUCCACUGAUGAGAAAUAAGAUCCACUAGUUGUAGAGAAUUACAAACAUACAUCAAAUCAUCAACCUCACUCAACAAUCAAUACUCAUAAGACACUCUCAAUCUCCUUUAGUCUUAUGAAGUAUUCUCUACCCAAACAAACACAAAUCCAAACUCUUGUGCACCAUUUCAACACAACCAAACACAUACCCAUAUGUUCUCAUACAUCAUACCUAUGUGGACCCU